This 73-nucleotide transfer RNA is filed under the name Algisphaera agarilytica. It matches the Rfam family "tRNA". From Rfam's summary of the family: Transfer RNA (tRNA) molecules are approximately 80 nucleotides in length. Their secondary structure includes four short double-helical elements and three loops (D, anti-codon, and T loops). Lineage: Bacteria; Pseudomonadati; Planctomycetota; Phycisphaerae; Phycisphaerales; Phycisphaeraceae. The record is from Rfam by way of RNAcentral.
GUCACGGUAGCUCAGCCGGAAGAGCAGCUGUCUAGUAAACAGCAGGUUGUCGGUUCGAUUCCGACUCGUGACU